AUUUUGCCAUCCUUGCCACUUUUGAUCCUGAUUUUCGUCCCGAGUCAACUUGGACAUACUAAAUGGGUGGCGUAUUUAUAGGAGUUCACUUUCACUUUUCGACACCAGGAAAGAAAGUUUGAAUCGUGUUGCCGAUGCGCUAAGCCGAAGAGCAUAACUCCUUAGUACUAUGCGAAACAAGUUUGUAGUGUUUGAAUUCUUUAGUGAGAUGUAUGAAGGGGAUUCUUCUUUCGAGAAGGUGGCUCAAGAAGUACGAGAAGGUCGAGGGUCUUACUCUAUCUUACAUAAUGGGUAUUUGUUUCGAG
This 305-nucleotide long non-coding RNA is filed under the name Panax ginseng (ginseng). RNAcentral describes it as "long non-coding RNA (PGIN_LNC012085)". Lineage: Eukaryota; Viridiplantae; Streptophyta; Magnoliopsida; Apiales; Araliaceae. The record is from RNAcentral.